AAAAACACAGGAAAGAAAAAGGAUGAAACUGGGAAGAAAAAAAACAGAGAGGGGAGAGGAUAAAAACAACCUAUAAAGCAGCACAGGAAGAGGGUUAAUUAACCAUUUCCAGGAUUAAUUACGUUUGUCUUACUGUAUAGCAACCAGUCUAACCAAUCUAAAUGUUCAUCCCUGUAGAAGCCUCUAGUGCAGUAAGCCUUCUGGCAGACGCAUCCUUACCUGCUACAUAUUCUGAGAACGUGUUGACAGAUCCGGUCACGGCAAGUCUGUGGGGGAACAUCGCUAGUUCAGACUGACCUCUGUGCUGCUUACACAGUGGACUGGGGCCAAACUAAGACUGAGGCCCAAACAAUACGCACUGGUGCUCUCUCUCAAUGACGAAGGGCCACAGCAGGAAACAGAAACACAUUGGUCUAAGUUGAGCUGCAUCAGAUGCGGUUUUGACUCUAGCCUAAAUAUCAACUCUGAUAUUUGGUAUUUCUAUGCCACCAUAAAGUUGCAUUCCAUCUGCUAACAGAGCGAACUGAAGCUGCACUCACUAUAAGCUGCCAAGGACUGAGAGGAAAGCUGUACUCUAGCGGGGGACAAAGGGACAGGAUAGCAAACCUUUUUUUUUUUUUACAGCCCACCUUCUGUUUUCAAUUCCACAAAAGACAACAUCUCUUCAGCUGAACAUCGAUGUGUGAUGUCGAGGGAAGUCAGCACUCACCCCACAGCUGUGACUUGGAGUGUAAAAUUGGAGUGGGGGUGAGAAGGGGAUGUUUUUGGAGCGAACAACUUAGACUGCAGCGCGAAAAUAAUUCUCCUGAAAAAGUCGCGCCAAAGGGGUGACACAUGAGUGAUAAUCACUGGACUCCAGAGAGCUAUGCUGAUGGAAACACUAGACUACACACUGCUACACACAGGAAGUCCAAAACAGCUUCAAGGUUCGUAGAUGAAAUCUGAUUCAAUGCAAGAAGAAAAGGCAUGAUGUGAGAACAAAUCUCAACAGACAGCAGCGCGUUUAGUUAUUCAGUUCACUUUUUCGUAACAUCUUUAUUUAAUUUGUCUCAUUUUAAACAUAUUUACAGUUAUUAUUUUUUUGUUCAGUAAAAAUACAAAUACAGAACACAGUACUCUUUUUUUUAAAGGUUUUUUUUUUUUUUUUUGAUUAAAUUUUUUUUCUUCCAAAAUUCACCCAGCGACAACAGAGGCUUUUGCCUGCCAGGGCUUCUCCCGGGGAAAGAAAGCAGGUGGUGUCGCCAUAGUGAUGUGAGGAUGACCAAGGGCAACCUCAGAAAUCACACUUUCACAACCAGUCAUCAGACAGCCAGUGCUGCCACCUAGAGGCCUGGAGAGGCAGUGUCUGAACGGCUCAUUCGCUGCCAACAGAAAUACAGCAGCAGCAGUGAGAAGGAGCAAGGGAGAGAGACGGCGAUUGUGAGGGGGUCUUGACGUUACCAGAUGUCCUGUGUCCGUCAUUCCCACUCUCGCUCGCAGCAUCCUGUCCAACACGUCCAUUCAGUUGAGCAAAGGGGGAAAAAAAAACAACAAAGUUGGGACAAAAAAUAAAAUAAAAAAAUCAAGAGUGUGUGGGCCCAGGGGCAUGGAUUAGUCAGUGUGUGGUUUCUGCCAAAGGCAUUUCGAGUUCUGUUCUUUCUCCUCAGGGGCUGUCCCUCUGAACAGAGGGACAGAGACAGAGACAGACGGAGGGAGAGGGCUGACAGAGGAACAGGAAAACGUCUCUGUUUGAGUCACACUGCAAGUGGUCAGUUUCUACUUCACCGUCCUGCCCCGGACUGACUUCACUAACCAGCUUAGAAAGUUACCAACCCCUCCGUGUAAGCAUGACCACGACCACAAUCACCACCAUCAUCUUCGUCGUCAUCGUCAUAGCCAUCACUGUGACUAGGGAGGCACCGAGGUUCUCUCUGUGAAUCAUACCCACAACCCUGAUCAGACUCGUGUUUUAGAACAUAUCAGCUGAUUAGGAGCAUAGAACAGUGAAGAAAGCAGGAUGGCAACAACCCAAAAUGAAAAAAAAGAAGGAAAACAAAAAAAGAAAAACCAAGAAAUGUCUAUUUUUGAGUCGUCUCCAGUGACCUUGCCCACAUAAAGAUGGCAGGGAGAGGUGUGUGUGUGUGUGUGCGCGUAUGUGUGUAUGUGCGUGUGUGCGGGGGUGGCAGGCAUAAAUUAGCUCCAGCCCAGUGUGUCAAUCACCUCCCCCACAUGCCUAUCUGAUGAGCAUCCUUAUUUACCCACAAUUCCUCAACAACAGCUCUGAUGCCUGACCUCUGACCUCUGUGGAGAUGGGGGGUGGGGGUGGAAGGAUGAUAUCGAGUGGUUGCAGAAAGAAGUCGUUGAGAAAAAGCACAGGAGCUCUGUGUGUUUAUGGGUGUGUUUGUGUAUGGGUAUGUGUGUGUGUGCAAGUGAGAGACAAACAGAGAGUAUGUGUGUGUGUGUGAUUAUGUAAUAUUUGAGCGCAUGUGUGUGUAUGUGUGUGUAUAUAUAUGUGUGUGCACGCUUAUUCGCAAGAGCAGUGACCCUCCAUGU
Molecule: long non-coding RNA, 2532 nt
Organism: Clupea harengus (Atlantic herring)
Lineage: Eukaryota; Metazoa; Chordata; Actinopteri; Clupeiformes; Clupeidae
Source: Ensembl